GCUGACGAGCGGCGGACGGGUGAGUAAUGCAUAGGAAUCUGCCCGAUAGUGGGGGAUAACCUGGGGAAACCCAGGCUAAUACCGCAUACGUCCUACGGGAGAAAGGGGGCUCCGGCUCCCGCUAUGGGAUGAGCCUAUGUCGGAUUAGCUAGUUGGUGAGGUAACGGCUCACCAAGGCCACGAUCCGUAGCUGGUCUGAGAGGAUGAUCAGCCACAUCGGGACUGAGACACGGCCCGAACUCCUACGGGAGGCAGCAGUGGGGAAUAUUGGACAAUGGGGGAAACCCUGAUCCAGCCAUGCCGCGUGUGUGAAGAAGGCCCUCGGGUUGUAAAGCACUUUCAGCGAGGAAGAACGCCUAGCGGUUAAUACCCGCUAGGAAAGACAUCACUCGCAGAAGAAGCACCGGCUAACUCCGUGCCAGCAGCCGCGGUAAUACGGAGGGUGCAAGCGUUAAUCGGAAUUACUGGGCGUAAAGCGCGCGUAGGUGGCUUGAUAAGCCGGUUGUGAAAGCCCCGGGCUCAACCUGGGAACGGCAUCCGGAACUGUCAAGCUAGAGUGCAGGAGAGGAAGGUAGAAUUCCCGGUGUAGCGGUGAAAUGCGUAGAGAUCGGGAGGAAUACCAGUGGCGAAGGCGGCCUUCUGGACUGACACUGACACUGAGGUGCGAAAGCGUGGGUAGCAAACAGGAUUAGAUACGCCUG
RNAcentral lists this ribosomal RNA (701 nucleotides) under Vreelandella aquamarina. RNAcentral describes it as "bacterial SSU rRNA". It matches the Rfam family "Bacterial small subunit ribosomal RNA", at positions 87 to 789 of the family's 1533-position model. Lineage: Bacteria; Pseudomonadati; Pseudomonadota; Gammaproteobacteria; Oceanospirillales; Halomonadaceae. The record is from RNAcentral.